AAAAUUAAUCAACAACAUCCAUGGUAGUGACGUCAUACCUAUAACAUAAGGCAUGUGUUAAAACUUUCUACAAACUACAGUGAGAAAAAACAAAACGAACAAGUGUGUUGGUUCUAAUGUAUGAACUGAGGACAAAAUGGACAGAUGUAUGCAGACUGAAACGGUUUAAAAACUUCAAAGUUUCAAAAAUGUACUUAGCUUAUCAUCUUGGCAAUACCUUUUAUUUCGUUACAGUAUCAAAGGUGUAAAAACAGUUAUAAAAUAACACUUGCUUUUUGCCAAGCUAAAUCAUGGAGAUAAAACAAGAAACUAUGCGUUGGGUCGUCAAACUGAUGAUAAACACGUCAUCAUGACGUCGUGAUGUGCAUUGUGUAUGUACUUGUCUUCUUGUACUUGACAUAAUUUUUCUAGUGUCAACAUAAACUAAGCAUGUCUUGCCCAAAAGUAUCAACAAGCACACUACAAUGCACAAUACAUAUCUUUGCAUGCACCUACGAUAUAGUUAAGUGUAAGGUUUUUAUUUGCCUCACGAGACUAUGGAUUUUUUAUCUUAAAAGAAACAGUAAAUUGUGACUUUUCCAAAGGGGAGGGGGAUGUAGCAGCAAAAUCAUCGACUGGGUGUGACAGAAUAUGCUACGGGGGGAUACAUGUGAACAAAACAACUUGAUAUAUGAUAUCCACCUUGAAAAUCAAAUUUUACUUUACGUUAUAUUUUAUCGUGUUCAAAGAAUGAGGUAAACGUAGCUUCGUUGUUUAUCUUAGUGGACUUCUCAAUCGGAUGUCAAAAUAUUUAACAAUACUUUUUUUGAAACAAACCAAAA
Molecule: long non-coding RNA, 821 nt
Organism: Xenia sp. Carnegie-2017
Lineage: Eukaryota; Metazoa; Cnidaria; Anthozoa; Malacalcyonacea; Xeniidae
Exons: 2
Source: RefSeq, a predicted model, not a curated record